AAGAAAAUGACAGAAUGGGUAUGUGUCUGGCUUGAAACCGGAUGAUGGAGGUUCAAUUCCUUCUUUUCUUG
RNAcentral lists this transfer RNA (71 nucleotides) under Allobates femoralis (brilliant-thighed poison frog). RNAcentral describes it as "tRNA-Ser". It matches the Rfam family "tRNA". Rfam says of the family: Transfer RNA (tRNA) molecules are approximately 80 nucleotides in length. Their secondary structure includes four short double-helical elements and three loops (D, anti-codon, and T loops). The record is from RNAcentral. Lineage: Eukaryota; Metazoa; Chordata; Amphibia; Anura; Aromobatidae.